Long non-coding RNA from Apus apus (common swift), 355 nucleotides. RefSeq lists it as uncharacterized. The transcript is spliced from 2 exons. The record is from RefSeq and is a predicted model, not a curated record. NCBI's taxonomy places the organism in Eukaryota, Metazoa, Chordata, Aves, Apodiformes, Apodidae.
GGGCAACAUGACGCACUUGCGUGGUGCCUGCUGGGGCUGGGAGAGGAUUGUCUUUGGCUGGGACAUUGUUUCAAAAUUGAGAGCCAGCUGAAGCUUUUGAAAAACUUGCCAGCUGUUCAUUAUGACUUUUCAUCUGGAUGUUGAUCCCCACACAGCUGAGCUGCUGGAACAGAUCUGACGGGUGUUUCCUACAUCAUAAAACUGGACACAUGAGUGCAAGCUUUGACAGAGGCUUCAACAAAGCAACUUGAAUUUCUCCAGGAGCAGAUUGGGGAUGCUCGUAUGACCCAUUCAGCUUCUGGAAGUAGGGAUCACAUCUGAGUGAGGGGCAAUAAAACAAAUUACCUAAUUUGAA